AAAAAGAAAAAGGGAGAAAAAAAUAAUAAAACCCUAGCCGCCGCACGCCGCCGCCGCGAACCCGAGCCAUCAAGCCUUCCCCUCUCUGUUCAGCAACGCAACCGAGUCUGCAGUCCACCCGAGUCGUCGCCGAGCUUCUAGCCGCGCCGGAAGAUCCGUCCAAGCCGAUUCGCGCACGCCGAGCGUCCGUCGGAGCAACCCGUCUCUCGCAGCCAUCGCCCGAAGCCGAGCCCGCGUCACCCUUCGCGAUCCGCAGCCGAUCCGUCAGCCAGCCGUGUCGCGCCGCUUCGAUCCGACGCAGCGCAGUCGAAACGUCCGUCUGCAGCCGUCGCCGAGCGAAGCCGUGGUGUAGCCGGACCAUUCGCAGCCGUCGCGCCAUCCGGAUCUGGAAGCCAGUGCCUCGUCACACGAGGACCAGACCCGACCGAAGCCCCCGUUCCGUGACCCGAAGCCCGGCCCGCGCCGCGUGCCUCCGACCUAGAACCCGAGCCGCGUGCACUCGCGAGCCGAGCAGCGCCCGCGUGCGAGCCGCACGUGCGUAGUCUCUGUACCAAGCCGAGCCGCGCCUGUCUGCACCACAAGCCGCGCCUGUCUGCGCUGCGAGCCGAGCCGAUCUUCAACCUCCAAGCCGAGCCGGUCCCUGUUCUCUUUCCAGCCGAGCCGCCAAGCCUAAUUUGGCUCCUUUCAUCCAAUUUUUCGGGACGUCUUGGACCAAGUAACUGCUGCAGCGUGGGAUUUCUUCAGUAGGGGCUCAGCAUUGCAACCUCUUUCUAGGGUAGAGGACGAGGUAAGGGCAAAGGCAAGCUGGCGAGCGACCAGAAGUGACCGUGGCGAGCCAUAGGGAUUUCUACUUCCACUCAUUCUUGUUUUUUGACUUUAGUACCUGAGUUUGAGUAUUUUUCACUAUUUACCAUUUUUUUUAAGUAGAUAGGGCCCGAGUAGGACUUUAGAACGAAAUGUCAUUUUUGCAUGUUACUUUGAUUGGAUGUUCAUAAAUAAA
Molecule: long non-coding RNA, 1000 nt
Organism: Cucumis melo (muskmelon)
Lineage: Eukaryota; Viridiplantae; Streptophyta; Magnoliopsida; Cucurbitales; Cucurbitaceae
Exons: 3
Source: RefSeq, a predicted model, not a curated record